This 243-nucleotide long non-coding RNA is filed under the name Elaeis guineensis (African oil palm). RNAcentral describes it as "long non-coding RNA (EGUI_LNC072336)". Lineage: Eukaryota; Viridiplantae; Streptophyta; Magnoliopsida; Arecales; Arecaceae. The record is from RNAcentral.
UGCUAGAGAGUAGUGGAGCCACAUGAAAUCUGUUGCAGAGAGUGGAGCAGGGUAGUGGCCAUUGUUGUGACUUGCCAGAGAGUUUGGAUCUAUCGGCUGGAGCUUGGCUGGGACAUCUGAUGGAGCAGGAUGGCUCUCUAUCCCGUCAAUCUGAGAGAAGCUCGGAUAUCUCCGAGGCUGCUAACGAGUCUACUGUUAUCGGAUACCUUAGGCGCUGAUACUACAGGCGGGAGUCAUCUGCUG